AAGGAAAUGGAAUUAGUCUCUUCUCAGGCUAAAGAUAUGUCUCAAUCGCAGGUUGAUUUUUCAGAUAUAAUGAAUCUCGUCGUUGACGACAGUGACAUAGAUGAAGACUGCUGUAUUUGGGGGAAAUCUAAGAGAAAAGGUAGCAGUAUUUUUCGAGAACCUAAGAGAAAGGAAGAGACUACAACAACCUGUGAAGCUGAGCUAACUUCCUUGAGGAAUCGAGUCCAAUAUCUAGAAAACGAAGUAAGGAUUUUGCAUGAUCUCAUCAAUAACUUCCUUGGCAAAAGUAGUAUAUAGAAGUUAGGAUAUUAGUUUAAGUAUUGGAUUGAGACUUGUGUUAUGUAUGAAUUGAUUUUUGGUUUAUGAAAUGAUGUAUAUCUUUUGGAUGUUUAU
Long non-coding RNA from Arabidopsis lyrata subsp. lyrata, 393 nucleotides. RefSeq lists it as uncharacterized. The transcript is spliced from 2 exons. NCBI's taxonomy places the organism in Eukaryota, Viridiplantae, Streptophyta, Magnoliopsida, Brassicales, Brassicaceae. The record is from RefSeq and is a predicted model, not a curated record.